Arvicola amphibius (Eurasian water vole) is the source of this 528-nucleotide non-coding RNA. Lineage: Eukaryota; Metazoa; Chordata; Mammalia; Rodentia; Cricetidae. The record is from the annotation of a RefSeq genome assembly.
UCUAUACUGGAUCUUAAUUUCAUUGAGAGAACAAUGAAGGCAUAUGUUCCUACUUUAUUCCUGUUUCUCUGGCUGCAGUGGAAUGAGGCAAGCUACGGUGAGCAGGUGGAACAGCGUCCUUCAAUCCUGACCAUCCAAGAGGGAGCCAGCACUGUCAUCAACUGCACAUAUGUAGACAGUGCCUCAACCUACUUCCUUUGGUAUAAACAAGGACAUGGAAAACAUCCUGAGCUCAUUAUUGACAUUCGGUCAAACAUGGAAAAAAAGCAGGACCAAAGACUACUAGUUUUACUGGAUAAAAAAGGCAAACAGUUCUCCCUGCACAUGAUAGAUGCCCAGCCUGAAGACUCUGCCGUGUACUUCUGUGCCACAGAUACACACUGCUCACCAGGCACCUACAGCCUGUCCUCAAACCUGCCACGGGGCCUGGAGCCCCAUCCACAUCCUGUGUCACAAGCUUUCCAGUGUAGCAUUUGUCAGUUGUUAGUUGCAAGUGCCAACUAUAUUGUAGACAUAAAGAAAAUCUAG